RNAcentral lists this long non-coding RNA (880 nucleotides) under Linum usitatissimum (flax). RNAcentral describes it as "long non-coding RNA (LUSI_LNC005525)". Lineage: Eukaryota; Viridiplantae; Streptophyta; Magnoliopsida; Malpighiales; Linaceae. The record is from RNAcentral.
AUAAUCAUGCUUAAUUAUUAACCGAUAAAUACAUGUUACGUUGGUUUGUAAAAAUUAGUAUGGUUGAAUCGAUUACUAAUUUUUUUGAUACAAGCCUACCUCUAUUCACUUUCUCAUGCAUUCUCAUCAUUUUCAUUCAAAUAACUUCCAAUCGUUAUUUCGAAAAAAAACUUCAAAUCGUGUUUACGAAUAACUUUACGGGCUGACAGACCUGAGCCCAUGGAGGGCGGGCCAAUCCAGAGAUUCUAUGGGCCCUUCCUCCACCUUCACCCGCCGCUUUCUUUACCCUACGAUUGCAUUCUCCUUUUCCUCAUCGCCGGAAUCCUCUUAUCUCCCUCCCUCAACGCCAAACCCCCCUUCUCUCCUCCCUCCUCAUAGCUGAAACCCUCUCCUCUUUUUGUCCACCUCUUCCACCAAUCAACAUGUCAGACAUCAACAACGUGGAUGAGACUGCUAUGCAAUGGAGAUUGGAUGCACUUCAAUUGGCUGUAGCUGAGAACACUAUGGUGCAGUUUGAUCUCCCGACGGAACCAAAUUCGGGCGGUGAACUACAAUCUUUGUGUAGUGGGAUCGAUCCUGAUAAAACGUCCUUUCAAUCUCAACGUCGUUCAACACAGGAUGUCAAGUGUCUGACAACCGGGCCUAGGGAUGACGACGGAGGACCUGGAAAAUCGCCUAAUCUUAUUCCGUUUUAUCACUCCAUCAAUCUCCGUUGGGGGUAGAUAACGGACCAUGACUGUUUGAUCGUCAGCUUGUUGUUCUCCAUGAACUGUGUGAAGGGGAAGAUCCAGCCACUGUCCCGAUGCAGUUUGAAAAUUUAUGAGUUUAGAUUCAUGACCUACCAAAGAAUUUUUUCAUAGAAACGGUUGGUCAUAAUCUG